Small nucleolar RNA from Meriones unguiculatus (Mongolian gerbil), 91 nucleotides. NCBI's taxonomy places the organism in Eukaryota, Metazoa, Chordata, Mammalia, Rodentia, Muridae. The record is from Ensembl.
UAGCCCUGUGAUGUCCAGCACUGGGCUUUGACCAUCCUGAGGGUGUGGUACCUUUCCCAAGAACUUUGAUUCCAGAAGGUCUGGGGGACUG